GCACGUGAAACUGUCAGCAGACUUUAGGCAGCGUGAAAGACAGCAGGUCCCAGGUCUCUACAGCAAAACUCAAGUGAGGAGCGGAAUAGCAGAACGCCUUUCACUGUUCGUCAGAAUCACAGCGACAGCCUCACAGGCCUCUGUGCAGGAGCAUGGGUGGAUCGGACAGUGGGCCACAAGCCACACACACACAGACAGAAGCCUCCUUCAGCACGUCCGUAGCCGAUUUUUUUACCUGUGUGCCAGAGUUACCGCACAUGUGUGAAGAGUGGCAGCAGAUUGUGGUGAGACUAAGGGUGUUCUCCUUGGAAGGGGUUUCUCCUAGGUUUCACCAGCUCCUUUGUGAAUGAGCCCUCACUCUCGGUGGGGGACGUGCUCAACAAGGAAGUAAAUGAAGCGCAGAGGACUGGCUGCAGGAGGCCGUUUUCCAGCUGACGUGAAUCACUGUGGCCCAAAGGGAGAAGGGUUCAGGAUCUUCUUUAGAAGUCCUGCUCUCCUUGCUCCCAGGGCCAAGAUGUACAAUAUAUGCCUGCAUUUUUUCAGACAAAAUUGGAUGAAAAUAAUGAGGCUAUUUUUUCAUUAUGAACUUAGCCAACACUGAGAUCUGUUAAAGUGUGACUUACAAGGGAUUCUCAGGCUGAUGAAGAAUCUGUUACUGAAAGAGGAGCUUACUGGGGAAAGGGGUAA
Molecule: long non-coding RNA, 687 nt
Organism: Athene cunicularia (burrowing owl)
Lineage: Eukaryota; Metazoa; Chordata; Aves; Strigiformes; Strigidae
Exons: 3
Source: RefSeq, a predicted model, not a curated record